Molecule: ribosomal RNA, 640 nt
Filed under: Lentilactobacillus buchneri
Lineage: Bacteria; Bacillati; Bacillota; Bacilli; Lactobacillales; Lactobacillaceae
Description: bacterial SSU rRNA
Rfam family: Bacterial small subunit ribosomal RNA
Source: RNAcentral
UGGGUAACCUGCCCUUGAAGUAGGGGAUAACACUUGGAAACAGGUGCUAAUACCGUAUAACAACCAAAACCACCUGGUUUUGGUUUAAAAGACGGCUUCGGCUGUCACUUUAGGAUGGACCCGCGGCGUAUUAGCUUGUUGGUAAGGUAACGGCUUACCAAGGCGAUGAUACGUAGCCGACCUGAGAGGGUAAUCGGCCACAUUGGGACUGAGACACGGCCCAAACUCCUACGGGAGGCAGCAGUAGGGAAUCUUCCACAAUGGACGAAAGUCUGAUGGAGCAACGCCGCGUGAGUGAUGAAGGGUUUCGGCUCGUAAAACUCUGUUGUUGGAGAAGAACAGGUGUCAGAGUAACUGUUGACAUCUUGACGGUAUCCAACCAGAAAGCCACGGCUAACUACGUGCCAGCAGCCGCGGUAAUACGUAGGUGGCAAGCGUUGUCCGGAUUUAUUGGGCGUAAAGCGAGCGCAGGCGGUUUUUUAGGUCUGAUGUGAAAGCCUUCGGCUUAACCGGAGAAGUGCAUCGGAAACCGGGAGACUUGAGUGCAGAAGAGGACAGUGGAACUCCAUGUGUAGCGGUGAAAUGCGUAGAUAUAUGGAAGAACACCAGUGGCGAAGGCGGCUGUCUGGGUCUGUAACUG